Molecule: long non-coding RNA, 1094 nt
Filed under: Musa acuminata (dwarf banana)
Lineage: Eukaryota; Viridiplantae; Streptophyta; Magnoliopsida; Zingiberales; Musaceae
Description: long non-coding RNA (MACU_LNC004036)
Source: RNAcentral
UCAUAUAUGCAAUAAGUUAUCAUAUGUCAGUAUCUACUCAAUGAGGAAAAAAAGGAAAAUAAAUACAGAAAAAAAUGAAAUAUAUCAUAUUUGUUUUUGAUUUAAGAUUACAAAUGAUUCAUCUUUAUAAAGAUAUAAGCUCGAAAUAUUAUUUUAUUUUUUUAAAAAUCAAGUCAAAAUUAUUACUUUGUGUUCAAAGGGAACAUGUUAUUUUUAUAAUUUUCCUUUUAUUUUUGCAUCUAUGCCUAUAAAAAUGGUUCAGAAUAUUAUGAUAUAUCAGUCAGAAAAUAAAUUAAGUUUUUACAUAAAUAAUAAAACUUACAAAAUUUUUAUUGUAUGUGAAUGUGCCAAGUAUUCGAUAGUUAUCUAAUUUUUUUUCUUUAUUAUGAAUCUAGCUGUUAGUCAUUCUACAUCACCCAAUCAAAAAAAGAUAUCAACUCGAGUAGGAGUAACUUGUUUAAAGACAAAAUAACUUACACCUUUAUUUUUGGUAAGAACUCUUGGACCUUUAUUUUUUAUCGAGCAAAAAAAAAAAUUCAAGAGAUCAAAAUGAAUCCCAAAAAUUUCACCUCAAAGCAUUCCCACAUUUACAUCAUUAACCAUUUUAAGUUAUAUAAAAUUUAACAUUUUAAUAAUCCUAUUAAAUUUCACAAUGAUGUUGGAUUACGAUUGAUUAUUAAAUUUUAUAAUAUUUUAUCUUUGGAUGAACAUGCUCCCUUGGUACUUUUGUCUACUUCAGUAAUGAUAUUUUUCCUUUUUCCUUUUUGUCUGUCUCCUAACCAUUCAUUUAAUCUUAAGAAUUUAAAAUCAAAAGUUGUUUUCGUCAAAUGAAACUUGCGUUCGUGUUACACUAGUUUCCAUCAGCCAGUGACAUCAGCGGACUCAUCAGUGACGAGUCAAUGCACCGGUAGAAACUUCACAGGAUGCAUCCUCGCUUGUCCUACAUGCAAUGGAAGCCGACAACACCCGUGACCACUACUAUUACGUUCCUUCCCUUCACUCCAUCCGCGGUAUAUAUAUAUAUAUAUAUAUAUAUAUAUAUAUAUAUAUAUAUAUAUAUAUAUAUAUAAUUAUUUAUAUAUAAUGUAUAAAAA